Molecule: long non-coding RNA, 947 nt
Filed under: Linum usitatissimum (flax)
Lineage: Eukaryota; Viridiplantae; Streptophyta; Magnoliopsida; Malpighiales; Linaceae
Description: long non-coding RNA (LUSI_LNC007478)
Source: RNAcentral
UUGUUCAUAAAAUCUGCUAGAAGGACGGUGUGGGUAAGGGAACACUUGUCAGCUAUGGUGUUCAGUACUUGCAAGGCUUGCGAGUGGGAGAGGCAAUGCGAGAUGGCGUCUACAACCCAUACCGUCUUCUUUUCUGGUUCAAAACCUGAUCUCUGGAGCUUUUCAACCCAGUCAUUAUUUCUAAUGUCUGCAGCUACCCUGUUGAGAGAUUUUGCCGUCAAUCUUGGUGGAUGAUGUUCAUUCAUCGACUUGGUUGCUGCCUCUAGAAGUGUUGCUUUCACUUCUAAGACAUCGGAGAAAUCAACCUCGAAGACAUCAGUUUCCUUUAAGCUGCUUAGACGGUACGCCCUUGUAUCCAUACCUGUUACAUUUAUUGCACACACUCAAUCCUGUCAGAACACUUCAAUAUUUGACAAUAGCUAAACCAAUUUAACUAAGAGACGAAGCAAUUGCCAGCUUUAGGCCGGUUGAUCUGAACCACUCCCAUUGGUUAUAUUAGCGGUUGGGUCAGUUUGGCUUGGUGUUGUUUUGUCUCACUUCUCACCAUGAGUGAGACAACACAAAUGCUACUUAUUAUCAAUUAUUCAAACACAUUCACUUUUAUUCACAUACAUAAUUUAUUUAUUCAUCGUCAUCCACAAAUGCUAUCUUUCUCUAUUACUAGUUAAUCAAAAUUUUCACGCAUUUUCAUCCCUUUGGGGACAUCCAAUAAAAAUUCACGCAUUUUCAUAAGGUAUCGUUUGUAUGCGAUGAGAUAAAUUGGUGACAGACGUGACUUUUUCCUUUUGGCUUUAAGGUAUCAGACAAGGAAUCAAAAUCUAAUGACUAAAGUAUUUGGAUGGAUUAUGGACAGAUAAUAGGGUAAAAGAGAGCGCAGUGGGGGUGGAUCACGAACCUGCACCAAGUAGAACAACCUGAGCUUGAGCAUGGAAGGAAGUGAGAGCAGC